RNAcentral lists this long non-coding RNA (627 nucleotides) under Homo sapiens (human). RNAcentral describes it as "long non-coding RNA NONHSAT181442.1". Lineage: Eukaryota; Metazoa; Chordata; Mammalia; Primates; Hominidae. The record is from RNAcentral.
AAUUCCCUGUUAAAUCCAUCAAGUGAACCCAGCUCCUUUUUGGGGGCUGCUCCAUUAAGCUGGCAGCUGCAGAACCUGAUGUAAGCCUGCAUGUGGGACAGCUCAGCGGCCAGGAUGUCCCCAAUCAUCUGCACCGGCAUCUUCUCGCCCCCGGUCUUCUUCCGCACCCGCAAAGCCCUGCCAAGAACACACUCUCAUUUUGUGUUUCUAAGUGAAUGACUUAGGUAAUUAAAGGAUGAACAGAGACAGCAUUUGGAGGAUGUGAGAGCUUCCGUCACUAUUUGUGAAUUCACACAUCAAAAGUGAUGCCUUGCUUUGACUCUGCGUGGAGGCAGCCCUGAGUCUGAUGCCCACCAUCUCUCAUGAGAGACAGCAGAUACCCCGAGAGCUAGCCAGCAGCAGCCUCCUCACCUCGACGACGAGCUGAAGGACUGUGCAGAGCGUGUGAAGAAUCUCACCACCUCAAGACAUUUUUCGAAGUUACUGAAAUGAUUAAAUGAAUCAGAUGCUUCAGACCACUCCAAACUGCAGGUCAUGAGCCAUUAGUGGGUCAUUAUAUCAUUUUGGUUUUAAAAUGCUGGUCAGGCCCAGCAUUAAAAAAUAAAUAAAUAGAAAUUACCAUGCAUA